UAGGUUAGGUUUCCGUAGCUGACAGA
Molecule: non-coding RNA, 26 nt
Filed under: Rattus norvegicus (Norway rat)
Lineage: Eukaryota; Metazoa; Chordata; Mammalia; Rodentia; Muridae
Source: RNAcentral